GCGAACGCUGGCGGAAUGCUUAACACAUGCAAGUCGCACGGGGGCUUCGGCCUUAGUGGCGGACGGGUGAGUAACGCGUAGGAACGUGUCCUGGGAUGGGGGAUAACGCUGGGAAACUGGCGCUAAUACCGCAUAUCUCCUGAGGGAGAAAGCCGCGAGGCGUCUUGGGAGCGGCCUGCGUCCGAUUAGCUUGUUGGUUAGGUAAUGGCUGACCAAGGCGAUGAUCGGUAGCUGGUCUGAGAGGAUGAUCAGCCACACUGGGACUGAGACACGGCCCAGACUCCUACGGGAGGCAGCAGUGGGGAAUAUUGGACAAUGGGCGCAAGCCUGAUCCAGCAAUUCCGCGUGGGUGAAGAAGGUCUUCGGAUUGUAAAGCCCUUUCGGCGGGGACGAUGAUGACGGUACCCGCAGAAGAAGCCCCGGCUAACUUCGU
RNAcentral lists this ribosomal RNA (433 nucleotides) under uncultured bacterium. Its description in RNAcentral is "bacterial SSU rRNA". It matches the Rfam family "Bacterial small subunit ribosomal RNA", at positions 29 to 506 of the family's 1533-position model. The record is from RNAcentral.